AUACGGAGGGGGCUAGCGUUGUUCGGAAUUACUGGGCGUAAAGCGCGCGUAGGCGGAUCGUUAAGUCAGGGGUGAAAGCCCGGAGCUCAACUCCGGAACUGCCCUUGAUACUGGCGAUCUAGAGUCCGGGAGAGGUGAGCGGAAUUCCUAGUGUAGAGGUGAAAUUCGUAGAUAUUAGGAGGAACACCAGUGGCGAAGGCGGCUCACUGGCCCGGUACUGACGCUGAGGUGCGAAAGCGUGGGGAGCAAACAGGAUUAGAAACCCCAGUAGUCC
This 274-nucleotide ribosomal RNA is filed under the name uncultured bacterium. Its description in RNAcentral is "partial 16S ribosomal RNA". It matches the Rfam family "Bacterial small subunit ribosomal RNA", at positions 523 to 796 of the family's 1533-position model. The record is from RNAcentral.